This 496-nucleotide ribosomal RNA is filed under the name uncultured bacterium. RNAcentral's name for it is "partial 16S ribosomal RNA". It matches the Rfam family "Bacterial small subunit ribosomal RNA", at positions 29 to 507 of the family's 1533-position model. The record is from RNAcentral.
ACGAACGCUGGCGGCGUGCCUAAUACAUGCAAGUUGAGCGCUGAAGGUUGGUACUUGUACCAACUGGAUGAGCAGCGAACGGGUGAGUAACGCGUGGGGAAUCUGCCUUUGAGCGGGGGACAACAUUUGGAAACGAAUGCUAAUACCGCAUAAAAACUUUAAACACAAGUUUUAAGUUUGAAAGAUGCAAUUGCAUCACUCAAAGAUGAUCCCGCGUUGUAUUAGCUAGUUGGUGAGGUAAAGGCUCACCAAGGCGAUGAUACAUAGCCGACCUGAGAGGGUGGUCCGCCACAUUGGGACUGAGACACGGCCCAAACUCCUACGGGAGGCAGCAGUAGGGAAUCUUCGGCAAUGGACGAAAGUCUGACCGAGCAACGCCGCGUGAGUGAAGAAGGUUUUCGGAUCGUAAAACUCUGUUGGUAGAGAAGAACGUUGGUGAGAGUGGAAAGCUCAUCAAGUGACGGUAACUACCCAGAAAGGGACGGCUAACUACGUG